This 405-nucleotide ribosomal RNA is filed under the name uncultured bacterium. RNAcentral's name for it is "partial 16S ribosomal RNA". It matches the Rfam family "Bacterial small subunit ribosomal RNA", at positions 28 to 526 of the family's 1533-position model. The record is from RNAcentral.
GAUGAACGCUGGCGGCGUGCCUAAUACAUGCAAGUCGAGCGAAGCGGGGACGGGUGAGUAACACGUGGAUAACCUCCUAUAAGACUGGGAUACCUUCGGGAAACCGGAGCUAAACCGGGUACUUAUAGAUUGAUCCGCGCUGGAUUAGCUAGUUGUGAAGGUAACGGCUUACAAAGGCAACGAUGGAUAGCCGACCUGAGAGGGUGAUAGGACAAACGGGAACUGGGACACGGUCAGGACUCCUAGGGGAGGCAGAAGUAGCGAAUUUUCAGGAAUGGGCGAAAGCCUGAAGGAGAAACGCCGCGUGAGUGAUGAAGGUCUUGUGAUCGUAAAACUCUGUUAUUAGGGAAGCGGUACCUAAUCAGAAAGCCACGGCUAACUACGUGCCAGCAGCCGCGGUAAUUC